AUUGAACGCUGGCGGCAUGCCUUACACGUGCAAGUCGAACGGCAGCACGGGAGCAAUCCUGGUGGCGAGUGGCGAACGGGUGAGUAAUAUAUCGGAACGUGCCCAGUCGUGGGGGAUAACGUAGCGAAAGCUACGCUAAUACCGCAUACGAUCUACGGAUGAAAGCGGGGGAUCGCAAGACCUCGCGCGAUUGGAGCGGCCGAUAUCAGAUUAGGUAGUUGGUGAGGUAAAGGCUCACCAAGCCGACGAUCUGUAGCUGGUCUGAGAGGACGACCAGCCACACUGGGACUGAGACACGGCCCAGACUCCUACGGGAGGCAGCAGUGGGGAAUUUUGGACAAUGGGCGCAAGCCUGAUCCAGCAAUGCCGCGUGCAGGAUGAA
RNAcentral lists this ribosomal RNA (382 nucleotides) under uncultured bacterium. RNAcentral describes it as "bacterial SSU rRNA". It matches the Rfam family "Bacterial small subunit ribosomal RNA", at positions 30 to 412 of the family's 1533-position model. The record is from RNAcentral.